GCGGGUAUCGUAUAAUGGAAUUACCUCAGCUUUCCAAGCUGAUGACAGGGGUUCGAUUCCCCUUACCCGCU
Molecule: non-coding RNA, 71 nt
Organism: Candidatus Liptonbacteria bacterium
Lineage: Bacteria; Candidatus Liptoniibacteriota
Source: Rfam